Molecule: ribosomal RNA, 254 nt
Filed under: uncultured bacterium
Lineage: Bacteria
Description: partial 16S ribosomal RNA
Rfam family: Bacterial small subunit ribosomal RNA
Source: RNAcentral
UACGAAGGGGGCUAGCGUUGCUCGGAAUCACUGGGCGUAAAGCGCACGUAGGCGGACUCUUAAGUCGGUGGUGAAAUCCUGGAGCUCAACUCCGGAACUGCCUUUUAGACUGCAUCGCUUGAAUCCAGGAGAGGUGAGUGGAAUUCCGAGUGUAGAGGUGAAAUUCGUAGAUAUUCGGAAGAACACCAGUGGCGAAGGCGGCUCACUGGACUGGUAUUGACGCUGAGGUGCGAAAGCGUGGGGAGCAAACAGGG